Molecule: non-coding RNA, 71 nt
Organism: Heligmosomoides polygyrus
Lineage: Eukaryota; Metazoa; Nematoda; Chromadorea; Rhabditida; Heligmosomidae
Source: Rfam
GCGCCGGUGGUGUAAGGCGAACAUCGGUGCCCGGAAAGCAGAAGAUGCGGGUUUGAGUCCCGCCUGGCACA